GUUUAACAAAAACAUGGCCUUUUGAUUAUAAUUUAAGGUCUAGCCUGCCCAAUGAUGUAGAGUUAAAUGGCCGCGGUAUUUUGACCGUGCAAAGGUAGCAUAAUCAUUAGUUUUUUAAUUGAAAGCUGGUAUGAAAGGUUGGAUGAGAAAAUAACUGUCUCUAUUUAAGUUUUAUAGAAUUUUAUUUUUAAGUUAAAAAGCUUAAAUUUUUAUUGAAGACGAGAAGACCCUAUAGAGUUUUAUAUUUAUUUUAAAUUGAAAAUUUUAGUAUUAAGUUUUUUUACUUUAGGAUAAGUAUUUAGUUGGGGUGAUUGAAAAAUUGAGUAAACUUUUUUUUAUAAUAUCAUUGAUUUAUGAAUAUAUGAUCCUUACCUUAAGAUUAAAAGAUUAAAUUACCUUAGGGAUAACAGCGUAAUUUUUUUUUAGAGUUCUAAUCGAAAAAAAAGGUUGCGACCUCGAUGUUGAAUUAAAA
Molecule: ribosomal RNA, 472 nt
Filed under: Conotrachelus sp. SPN-008
Lineage: Eukaryota; Metazoa; Arthropoda; Insecta; Coleoptera; Curculionidae
Description: partial 16S ribosomal RNA
Rfam family: Bacterial large subunit ribosomal RNA
Source: RNAcentral